GUGAAUCAUCGAAUCUUUGAACGCACAUUGCGCCCCUUGGUAUUCCGGGGGGCACACCUGUUCGAGCGCCAUUUCGACCCUCAAGCAUAGCUUGGUGUUGGGCAUGGUCCCAGGGGACCUGCCCGUAACUCGUAGGCAGCCACCGCCCGCGCCCCUAGCGUAGCAAGCUCACGCGUUCGCUCGGGGACGGCGCGCCUGGUAGCCCAAAACAUUUUUCAAGGUUUGGCCUCGGAUCAGGUGGGGAUACCCGCUGAACUUAAGCAUAUCAAUAAGCGGAGGA
Molecule: unclassified non-coding RNA, 280 nt
Filed under: Venturiales sp.
Lineage: Eukaryota; Fungi; Ascomycota; Dothideomycetes; Venturiales
Description: partial contains 5.8S ribosomal RNA, internal transcribed spacer 2, and large subunit ribosomal RNA
Rfam family: 5.8S ribosomal RNA (bases 1-71)
Source: RNAcentral